GUCUCAACUGGUUUAUGGGUGCUAUAUACUUGGGCUUCCUGUGGGGGAGAGAGUUCAGAGGUAGUUUUGCAGUGCCAAAAGGCCUUCAGGAGAGCCCAUCUCUGUGGACACUUAUCCUCCAAUCUCUGAUUUCGCAGCUGGAGGGAGGAGGUUACAGGAAAAUGCUCCCUUGGAGGAAGGGGUUAACUGCACCAGUGGAAUUCAAAUCCUGGAGGCACUCUCUGAUACCUGGGGUACCUUCGGUUCCAUGAUGUUGACCUCUGACCUUUGAGGUUUAUCAGCACACUCACUAAUCAGGGGUGUUUAAUGGAACAGCCACACAGAUUCCUCGAAUUCUUGAAACAUUACAACCCUGUCAGUUGAAUGAAGACUAAAAGUUUCUUGGUUUUUGAACUCCCUUUCCUUUAUAAUGUCUUUAGAGUGUCUUGCUAGCUGUGUCUUACCUAACUGUUCUAAAUUGCCCGAGGCCAACGUUUUGAAAGACGGAGCAUUUAUCACUUAACUGGAAUCAGGAUGAUAAUUUUUCUCUCCUGGUGUGAAAGGAAUGGGGUGGGAACACGAGGGCCACACUCUACCAUCUCUGAGGCACUUUGGAGUCACUUUUUUGUUACGUGUGAAUGUAGCCUUAUUAGAGGCAACUUAGAGAUGAUUUGCAGACGGGACCGUUCACAUGCCAGUCUGUCCCCCCACUUCACUGACAUUCUAGGCUAGAAAAUGUAGAUUAGAAAUGGGACGAGAACACAAGAGCCACACACUACCACCUCGGAGGAGUUUUGGAGAUCCAUUUUUGUUGCUACCCGUGAAUCCAGCCUCAAAACAGUUCACGAAAAUUCAAUCCACAACACAAAUGAGUUUCUACAUUCUUCUGUUCAUCUGUUAGCGACAAAUCCAUGAUGACUGAAGGUUGCCGGUUCAAUCCCUAGCCUCUCCUUGGAAGAAGACAAUGGCAAACCACUUCUGCAUCUUUCUCAAGAAAACUGUAUAGUGAUGCCCAUGGCGUCCGGGAGUGGCUGUAGCUCAGUGGUAGAAGAAACUGCCUGGAAAGCAGAGGGUUGCCAGUUCAAACCCCAGCCUCACCCUGGAGGUAGGCAAUGGCAAACCAGUUCUCCAUCUCUGCCAAGAAAAGUGCACUGAGAUGCCCAUGGUGGUGCCCAUUUAGUCAACCAGGAGGUGGUCACAGUUCAGUGCUACCAACAAUAGAUAUUACAUCCUAAUGAUGAAUCAAAGCAGCAGCCCUCUUUUCAUUGAUAUAAGUAUAUUAAUUGGCAUGUCUUAGGGGUUCACAAUAAAGAUGCAUGCUUCAAAGACA
RNAcentral lists this long non-coding RNA (1309 nucleotides) under Salvator merianae (Argentine black and white tegu). Its description in RNAcentral is "lncRNA (ENSSMRG00000009642.1)". The stretch from base 1007 to 1076 matches the Rfam family "tRNA". The record is from RNAcentral. Lineage: Eukaryota; Metazoa; Chordata; Lepidosauria; Squamata; Teiidae.